UACGAAGGGGGCAAGCGCUGUUCGGAAUUACUGGGCGUAAAGGGCGCGUAGGCGGCUUAUCAAGUCAGGCGUGAAAUUCCCGGGCUCAACCUGGGGGCUGCGCUUGAUACUGAUUGGCUUGAAUGCGGGAGAGGAUAGUGGAAUUCCCAGUGUAGAGGUGAAAUUCGUAGAUAUUGGGAAGAACACCGGUGGCGAAGGCGGCUAUCUGGCCCGUAAUUGACGCUGAGGCGCGAAAGCGUGGGGAGCAAACAGG
This 253-nucleotide ribosomal RNA is filed under the name uncultured bacterium. RNAcentral describes it as "partial 16S ribosomal RNA". It matches the Rfam family "Bacterial small subunit ribosomal RNA", at positions 524 to 776 of the family's 1533-position model. The record is from RNAcentral.